RNAcentral lists this long non-coding RNA (720 nucleotides) under Homo sapiens (human). Its description in RNAcentral is "non-protein coding lnc-FAM186B-4:1". The record is from RNAcentral. Lineage: Eukaryota; Metazoa; Chordata; Mammalia; Primates; Hominidae.
AUUACUUACGAGAGAAAAAUCCAAAUUUCUUAUUUUAGCAUUCAAGGCACUUUACAUGCAGGGCUCUACUUCCAAGCUGGGGCAUGUGGUUCCAGAGAAAGAGAGGAUACCUCAGGACAGUAUGAUACAUCUUACCUAAUGUAGAAGAAGAGCAACAGGCCAUGUGUGAUGGUAAAUGGCAGCUGACACUUGCGACAGUAUCAAGAAGGCACUAAGGAAUGGUGAGAAGGAUGACUUGCCCUUUCUAAAGUGGCAUCUCAGCUUGAGUCUGCAGAAUGCCUUGCAAAUCCAGCUCAGUACUGCUAGAUAAUCCAUAUUGACAAGAGAAGCUAAAGAUUCAGAUUUUCUAUGUGAAGUUUCCUGGUUUUAAAAUGUUAGCAACAAAUUCCAAAUUUUUACAGAACACUGUACAGGCCAGAAAGAACAAUCUGUGUGCUACCAGUUUACAAUUAGCUAUGCUUCUUCCUCCUCAGACCUGGCAUGCCCUUUCCACCCCCUUGCCUUUGCUCUUAGUACCCCGUGUACACUCCAACCUCUUCCACCUACAAAUUUCUAAAUGCACAGUUCAAAUGUUAGUUCUUCAGAUUCCUGUCUCUGUAAUAACACUUGCCCCUUUGUAUAACAGUUCUCAUGUAUAUCUUCCUAUUAGACCAUGAGCUCCUGUGGUAGAAAUUGUGUAUUCAUUACUGUAUCCCUAGUGUGCAGUAAAGGAUCACAGUA